This is a long non-coding RNA of Magnolia sinica, 832 nucleotides long. RefSeq lists it as uncharacterized. The transcript is spliced from 3 exons. NCBI's taxonomy places the organism in Eukaryota, Viridiplantae, Streptophyta, Magnoliopsida, Magnoliales, Magnoliaceae. The record is from RefSeq and is a predicted model, not a curated record.
UAACUGAAUUGCAGACAUAAAUGUGUUGCCUUUAGUUUCAUAUGUUUAUCUCAUAAACUGGAAAAAUUAGAAGAGAGAUUCUUCUACGUGUAAUGAACUUGAGGAAAUGCACCAGCCAGUAGACAGACCAGGUAAUGGAGGAUUGAUGUCUGGUAGGCAGCUGGUUAUGAGUAUUAUGAUAUUACUACUGCUGUGUUAUAUAUGAGAUGGAAUUAGCUGGCUCGUGGCUGUUAUAUAUAAGGAGGAUAAGCAUUUGCUUGGCCUAAUAAACUGUACAUGUGGGGCCCACCUUUUUUCAGAUUUGGAGCAGUUUGGAACACAGCAAAGGUAGAACCAGGAUCUAUUGUUGCUGUUUUCGGCCUUGGGACUGUUGGCCUUGCAGUAAGUUGCCUAAAGAUUUCUUUUGUAUUUUGUCCCUGACCUGAGAAGUAACACUGCCUGAUUUUUGCACAAGAACAUCCAAUCAAUCUGGUUCAUCUAAUGAAAUUAUGAAAAGCUGGGAUCUCAUACACAUCUUCCAUAUUGGCAUGUGUGGCUACAUGUGGAUGGGCACAGCUCCACACACGUGCAGGCUUAGUAAUCAUCUGUUUCAGGUUAACUUAAUAUGUAAGGAACUCUUCAAGGAGCCAGUACGUCUGGAUUUGUUUGCAGCCAAUCCAUGCUUUGAAACCCAUAUCAACUGAGAAUAGACAUUGACAGGCAGGUUAAAAGCUUCGUUCUGUAAGGCUUUUCACACAUCUUCCAUCUAUGGCAGAGCUUAUGAAAGUAAAGUUUGUAUCUCACAACUGUUGGCCCCACUUGUAAGUUGUAAUGUGUAUCCCGACACUAAAAC